Molecule: ribosomal RNA, 408 nt
Filed under: uncultured bacterium
Lineage: Bacteria
Description: partial 16S ribosomal RNA
Rfam family: Bacterial small subunit ribosomal RNA
Source: RNAcentral
GACGAACGCUGGCGGCGUGCUUAACACAUGCAAGUCGAACGAAGUGGCGACCGGGUGAGUAACGCGUAAUUAACCUGCCCUUCAGAGGGGGACAACAGUUGGAAACGACUGCUAAUACCGCCUACUGCCGGAGGGGAUUGCUUCUGAUUAGGUAGUUGGAGGGGUAACGGCCUACCAAGGCGAUGAUCAGUAGCCGGUCUGAGAGGAUGAACCGCCACAUUGGGACUGAUACACGGCCCAGACUCCUACGGGGGGCAGCAGUGGGGAAUCUUCCGCAAUGGACGAAAGUCUGACGGAGCAACGCCGGGUUAGUGAUGACGGCCUUCGGGUUGUAAAGCUCUGUUAAUCGGGACGCGGUACCGGAAUAGAAAGCCACGGCUAACUACGUGCCAGCCGCCGCGGUAAUAC